RNAcentral lists this ribosomal RNA (501 nucleotides) under uncultured bacterium. RNAcentral's name for it is "bacterial SSU rRNA". It matches the Rfam family "Bacterial small subunit ribosomal RNA", at positions 8 to 518 of the family's 1533-position model. The record is from RNAcentral.
AGAGUUUGAUCCUGGCUCAGGAUGAACGCUGGCGGCGUGCUUAACACAUGCAGGUCGAACGGAGUAAUAUGAAGUUUACGGACAGAUUAUACUUAGUGGCGGACGGGUGAGUAACGCGUGGGUAACCUACCUCAUACAGGGGGAUAACAGUUGGAAACGACUGCUAACACCGCAUAACAAGUUGGGACCGCAUGAUCCUAACUUCAAAUAUUUAUAGGUAUGAGAUGGGCCCGCGUCUGAUUAGCUAGUUGGUGGGGUAAUGGCCUACCAAGGCGACGAUCAGUAGCCGGCUUGAGAGAGUGACCGGCCACAUUGGGACUGAGACACGGCCCAAACUCCUACGGGAGGCAGCAGUGGGGAAUAUUGGACAAUGGGGGCAACCCUGAUCCAGCGACGCCCGCGUGAGUGAAGAAGUAUUUCGGUAUGUAAAGCUCUAUCAGCAGGGAAGAUGAUGACAGUACCUGACUAAGAAGCCCCGGCUAACUACGUGCCAGCAGCCGC